This 1337-nucleotide ribosomal RNA is filed under the name uncultured bacterium. RNAcentral describes it as "bacterial SSU rRNA". It matches the Rfam family "Bacterial small subunit ribosomal RNA", at positions 28 to 1381 of the family's 1533-position model. The record is from RNAcentral.
GACGAACGCUGGCGGCGUGCUUAACACAUGCAAGUCGAACGGAAAGGCCCUUCGGGGUACUCGAGUGGCGAACGGGUGAGUAACACGUGGGUGAUCUGCCCUGCACUUUGGGAUAAGCCUGGGAAACUGGGUCUAAUACCGAAUAGGACCACGCGCUUCAUGGUGUGUGGUGGAAAGCUUUUGCGGUGUGGGGUGGGCCCGCGGCCUAUCAGCUUGUUGGUGGGGUAAUGGCCUACCAAGGCGACGACGGGUAGCCGGCCUGAGAGGGUGACCGGCCACACUGGGACUGAGAUACGGCCCAGACUCCUACGGGAGGCAGCAGUGGGGAAUAUUGCACAAUGGGCGCAAGCCUGAUGCAGCGACGCCGCGUGAGGGAUGACGGCCUUCGGGUUGUAAACCUCUUUCAAUAGGGACGAAGCGCAAGUGACGGUACCUAUAGAAGAAGCACCGGCCAACUACGUGCCAGCAGCCGCGGUAAUACGUAGGGUGCGAGCGUUGUCCGGAAUUACUGGGCGUAAAGAGCUCGUAGGUGGUUUGUCGCGUUGUUCGUGAAAACUCACAGCUUAACUGUGGGCGUGCGGGCGAUACGGGCAGACUAGAGUACUGCAGGGGAGACUGGAAUUCCUGGUGUAGCGGUGGAAUGCGCAGAUAUCAGGAGGAACACCGGUGGCGAAGGCGGGUCUCUGGGCAGUAACUGACGCUGGGGAGCGAAAGCGUGGGGAGCGAACAGGAUUAGAUACCCUGGUAGUCCACGCCGUAAACGGUGGGUACUAGGUGUGGGUUCCUUCCUUGGGAUCCGUGCCGUAGCUAACGCAUUAAGUACCCCGCCUGGGGAGUACGGCCGCAAGGCUAAAACUCAAAGGAAUUGACGGGGGCCCGCACAAGCGGCGGAGCGUGUGGAUUAAUUCGAUGCAACGCGAAGAACCUUACCUGGGUUUGACAUGCACAGGACGCCGGCAGAGAUGUCGGUUCCCUUGUGGCCUGUGUGCAGGUGGUGCAUGGCUGUCGUCAGCUCGUGUCGUGAGAUGUUGGGUUAAGUCCCGCAACGAGCGCAACCCUUGUCCUAUGUUGCCAGCGGGUUAUGCCGGGGACUCGUAGGAGACUGCCGGGGUCAACUCGGAGGAAGGUGGGGAUGACGUCAAGUCAUCAUGCCCCUUAUGCCCAGGGCUUCACACAUGCUACAAUGGCCGGUACAAAGGGCUGCGAUGCCGUGAGGUGGAGCGAAUCCUUUCAAAGCCGGUCUCAGUUCGGAUCGGGGUCUGCAACUCGACCCCGUGAAGUCGGAGUCGCUAGUAAUCGCAGAUCAGCAACGCUGCGGUGAAUACGUUCCCGGGCCU